RNAcentral lists this ribosomal RNA (108 nucleotides) under Streptococcus agalactiae STIR-CD-17. RNAcentral describes it as "partial 23S ribosomal RNA". It matches the Rfam family "Bacterial large subunit ribosomal RNA", at positions 2815 to 2925 of the family's 2925-position model. Lineage: Bacteria; Bacillati; Bacillota; Bacilli; Lactobacillales; Streptococcaceae. The record is from RNAcentral.
UGAUUUUAUAUCAGUAAGAGCCCUGAGAGAUGAUCAGGUAGAUAGGUUAGAAGUGGAAGUGUAGUGAUACAUGUAGCGGACUAAUACUAAUAGCUCGAGGACUUAUCC